This 760-nucleotide unclassified non-coding RNA is filed under the name Hevea brasiliensis (rubber tree). Lineage: Eukaryota; Viridiplantae; Streptophyta; Magnoliopsida; Malpighiales; Euphorbiaceae. The record is from RNAcentral.
UCUCGAUCCUCUCAUCGGCCGCCAAUGCCUUAUUCAGCUCCAACACAAAAUCCCUAUAGUACCUAACAUACUUGCGCAUCGGCGCAUCUGGUGGCGCCACCACAGAGCCAUUCCAGAGUGUGUUGUCGUAGCCGAUAACGCCACCAAUUUUCACGAGGUCUAGGAUGCGCUUGUGGUAGUUGAGGUAGUUGUCCUUAUCGGCAUCGACAAAGAUGAAGUCAUACGAGCCAUGAAAGGAUGGGUCUUCCACCAACUGGUCAAGGAGUGGCAGUGCUGGUCCCUCACGGAAGUCGAUCUUGUGGGCAACUCCGGCUUUCUGGAUGACUGGGAGUCCGAGUUCGUAGUUCUCGCGAUUCACGUCCAUGGCAAGUAUCUUGCCGUCCUCCGGCAGCGCCAGUGCGGUGGCUAGCAGCGAAUAGCCGGUGUACACGCCGAUCUCCAUAGUGUUCUUUGCUCCGAUGAGCUUGAGCAGCAUGCUCAAGAACUGGCCCUCAUCAGCCGACGUCGUCAUUAGAUUCCACGGGUGUUUGGCGGUAAUGUCGCGGAGCUCCUUCAUCGCCGGUGGCUCGCGAGGAUACACGCUCGUCUCGAGUAUGUACUGGUAUAGCGCGUCACUCUGGAGGAGCGACUUGUGGCCCACCUCCUGAUGCCGGGUCUUCUCCUCGCCGUUUGUGGCGGCGGCUGCGGGGGUGGCGGCGGGGGCGGCGUCGGCCGUCGACAUUGAAGCAGCUCCGAUCUGGAUGUAGUGAGGGGGGUUGAG